This 328-nucleotide ribosomal RNA is filed under the name uncultured eukaryote. Its description in RNAcentral is "partial 18S ribosomal RNA". It matches the Rfam family "Eukaryotic small subunit ribosomal RNA", at positions 1470 to 1796 of the family's 1831-position model. The record is from RNAcentral.
CCCUUAGAUGUUCUGGGCUGCACACGCGCUACACUGAAGGGAUCAGCGUGUUCUUUUCCUGGUCCGAAAGGAUCGGGUAACCCGCUGAACCCCCUUCGUGGUAGGGAUCGGAGCUUGCAAUUAUUCUCCGUGAACCAGGAAUUCCCAGUAAGCGCAAGUCAUAAGCUUGCGUUGAUUACGUCCCUGCCCUUUGUACACACCGCCCGUCGCUACUACCGAUUGGACGUUUUAGUGAGGAUUUUGGACUGAGCCAAUGGUGGUUCAUACCACUGUUGUGCAUGGAAAGAUCUCCAAACUUGAGCGUUUAGAGGAAGUAAAAGUCGUAACA